RNAcentral lists this non-coding RNA (29 nucleotides) under Rattus norvegicus (Norway rat). The record is from RNAcentral. Lineage: Eukaryota; Metazoa; Chordata; Mammalia; Rodentia; Muridae.
UACCAUUUGAGGGACUUAUACUACUAGAU